This 450-nucleotide ribosomal RNA is filed under the name Burkholderia sp. BSNF1(10). Its description in RNAcentral is "bacterial SSU rRNA". It matches the Rfam family "Bacterial small subunit ribosomal RNA", at positions 47 to 495 of the family's 1533-position model. Lineage: Bacteria; Pseudomonadati; Pseudomonadota; Betaproteobacteria; Burkholderiales; Burkholderiaceae. The record is from RNAcentral.
CUUAACAUGCAGUCGAACGGCAGCACGGGGGCAACCCUGGUGGCGAGUGGCGAACGGGUGAGUAAUACAUCGGAACGUGUCCUGUAGUGGGGGAUAGCCCGGCGAAAGCCGGAUUAAUACCGCAUACGCUCUACGGAGGAAAGGGGGGGAUCUUCGGACCUCUCGCUACAGGGGCGGCCGAUGGCAGAUUAGCUAGUUGGUGGGGUAAAGGCCUACCAAGGCGACGAUCUGUAGCUGGUCUGAGAGGACGACCAGCCACACUGGGACUGAGACACGGCCCAGACUCCUACGGGAGGCAGCAGUGGGGAAUUUUGGACAAUGGGGGCAACCCUGAUCCAGCAAUGCCGCGUGUGUGAAGAAGGCCUUCGGGUUGUAAAGCACUUUUGUCCGGAAAGAAAACUUCUGCCCUAAUACGGCGGGAGGAUGACGGUACCGGAAGAAUAAGCACCG